This 366-nucleotide ribosomal RNA is filed under the name uncultured organism. RNAcentral's name for it is "bacterial SSU rRNA". It matches the Rfam family "Bacterial small subunit ribosomal RNA", at positions 526 to 896 of the family's 1533-position model. The record is from RNAcentral.
CGGAGGAUCCAAGCGUUAUCCGGAAUCAUUGGGUUUAAAGGGUCCGUGGGCGGUUUGGUAAGUCAGUGGUGAAAGCCCAUCGCUUAACGAUGGAACGGCCAUUGAUACUGCCAGACUUGAAUUACUGGGAAGUAACUAGAAUAUGUAGUGUAGCGGUGAAAUGCUUAGAUAUUACAUGGAAUACCAAUUGCGAAGGCAGGUUACUACCGGUGUAUUGACGCUGAUGGACGAAAGCGUGGGGAGCGAACAGGAUUAGAUACCCUGGUAGUCCACGCCGUAAACGAUGGAUACUAGCUGUUGGGAGUAAUCUCAGUGGCUAAGCGAAAGUGAUAAGUAUCCCACCUGGGGAGUACGAACGCAAGUUUG